RNAcentral lists this ribosomal RNA (253 nucleotides) under uncultured bacterium. RNAcentral's name for it is "partial 16S ribosomal RNA". It matches the Rfam family "Bacterial small subunit ribosomal RNA", at positions 524 to 776 of the family's 1533-position model. The record is from RNAcentral.
UACGUAGGGUGCGAGCGUUGUCCGGAAUUAUUGGGCGGAAAGAGCUUGUAGGCGGUUUGUCGCGUCUGCUGUGAAAAUCCGGGGCUCAACCCCGGACUUGCAGUGGGUACGGGCAGACUAGAGUGUGGUAGGGGAGACUGGAAUUCCUGGUGUAGCGGUGAAAUGCGCAGAUAUCAGGAGGAACACCGAUGGCGAAGGCAGGUCUCUGGGCCACUACUGACGCUGAGAAGCGAAAGCAUGGGGAGCGAACAGG